This 410-nucleotide ribosomal RNA is filed under the name uncultured bacterium. RNAcentral describes it as "bacterial SSU rRNA". It matches the Rfam family "Bacterial small subunit ribosomal RNA", at positions 505 to 916 of the family's 1533-position model. The record is from RNAcentral.
GUGUCAGCCGCCGCGGUAAUACGUAGGGGGCAAGCGUUAUCCGGAAUUAUUGGGCGUAAAGAGUGCGUAGGUGGUUUUGUAAGCGCGGGGUGAAAGGCAAUAGCUCAACUAUUGUAAGCCCUGCGAACUGUGAGACUUGAGUGCAGGAGAGGAAAGCGGAAUUCCUAGUGUAGCGGUGAAAUGCGUAGAUAUUAGGAGGAACACCAGUGGCGAAGGCGGCUUUCUGGACUGUAACUGACACUGAGGCACGAAAGCGUGGGGAGCAAACAGGAUUAGAUACCCUGGUAGUCCACGCCGUAAACGAUGAGCACUAGGUGUCGGGGCCGCAAGGCUUCGGUGCCGCAGUUAACGCAUUAAGUGCUCCGCCUGGGGAGUACGCACGCAAGUGUGAAACUUAAAGGAAUUGGCGG